CCUACGGGAGGCAGCAGUGGGGGAUAUUGCACAAUGGGGGAAACCCUGAUGCAGCGACGCCGCGUGAGUGAAGGAGCAAUUCGUCACGUAAAGCUCUAUCAGCAGGGAAGAAAAUGACGGUACCUGAGCAAGAAGCCCCGGCUAACUACGUGCCAGCAGCCGCGGUAAUACGUAGGGGGCAAGCGUUAUCCGGAUUUACUGGGUGUAAAGGGAGCGUAGACGGCAGUGCAAGCCUGGAGUGAAAGGCGGGGGCGCAACCCCCGGACUGCUCUGGAAACUGUACGGCUGGAGUGCAGGAGGGGUAGGUGGAAUUCCUAGUGUAGCGGUGAAAUGCGUAGAUAUUAGGAGGAACACCAGUGGCGAAGGCGGCCUACUGGACUGUGACUGACGUUGAGGCUCGAAGGCGUGGGGAGCAAACAGGAUUAGAUACCCGGGUAGUC
Molecule: ribosomal RNA, 440 nt
Filed under: uncultured bacterium
Lineage: Bacteria
Description: partial 16S ribosomal RNA
Rfam family: Bacterial small subunit ribosomal RNA
Source: RNAcentral